UGGCAUAAACCCGUAGAUCCGAUCUUGUGGUGAAAUACUGUGCACAAGCUCGUUUCUAUGGGUCAGUGUCAG
MicroRNA precursor from Ophiophagus hannah (king cobra), 72 nucleotides. It matches the Rfam family "mir-10 microRNA precursor family". Rfam says of the family: In this case the mature sequence comes from the 5' arm of the precursor. The extents of the hairpin precursors are not generally known and are estimated based on hairpin prediction. The products are thought to have regulatory roles through complementarity to mRNA. Lineage: Eukaryota; Metazoa; Chordata; Lepidosauria; Squamata; Elapidae. The record is from Rfam.